Molecule: ribosomal RNA, 927 nt
Filed under: Nagrajchalara tsuensis
Lineage: Eukaryota; Fungi; Ascomycota; Leotiomycetes; Helotiales
Description: partial large subunit ribosomal RNA
Rfam family: Eukaryotic large subunit ribosomal RNA
Source: RNAcentral
GUAUCGGAGAGACCAACAGGGAUUACCUCAGUAACGGCGAGUGAAGCGGUAAUAGCUCAAAUUUGAAAUCUGGCUUCGGUCCGAGUUGUAAUUUGUAGAAGAUGCUUCGGGUGUGGCUCCGGUCUAAGUUCCUUGGAACAGGACGUCAUAGAGGGUGAGAAUCCCGUAUGUGACUGGGUGCCUUCGCCUAUGUGAAGCUCUUUCGACGAGUCGAGUUGUUUGGGAAUGCAGCUCAAAAUGGGUGGUAUAUUUCAUCUAAAGCUAAAUAUUGGCCAGAGACCGAUAGCGCACAAGUAGAGUGAUCGAAAGAUGAAAAGCACUUUGGAAAGAGAGUUAAACAGUACGUGAAAUUGUUGAAAGGGAAGCGUUUGCAAUCAGACUUGCAUGUUGCCGAUCAUCUGGUGUUCUCACCAGUGCACUCGGUUUCGUUCAGGCCAGCAUCGGUUUGGGUGGUUGGAUAAAGGCCUUGGGAAUGUAGCUUCUUUCGGGGAGUGUUAUAGCCCUCGGUGCAAUGCAGCCUACCUGGACCGAGGACCGCGCUUCGGCUAGGAUGCUGGCGUAAUGAUUGUAAACGACCCGUCUUGAAACACGGACCAAGGAGUCUAACAUCUAUGCGAGUAUUUGGGUGUUAAACCCAUAUGCGUAAUUAACGUGAACGGAGGUAAGAGCCCUUAAGGGUGCAUUAUCGACCGGUCCUGAUGUCUUCGGAAGGAUCUGAGUAAGAGCAUAGCUGUUGGGACCCGAAAGAUGGUGAACUAUGCCUGAAUAGGGUGAAGCCAGAGGAAACUCUGGUGGAGGCUCGCAGCGGUUCUGACGUGCAAAUCGAUCGUCAAAUUUGGGUAUAUGGGCGAAAGACUAAUCGAACCAUUGACAGGAGUCACCGGUGUUACCGUUUUGUUAAAGUAGUAUCAAGCAAGCUUUGUACUU